GUUAGGAACAGCUGGAAGGAACCAACUGCCAAUCCUCAACUGGCACAGAAAUUUCUGGAACUCCUUCCUCCAACAUUCUGUCCUGUUGAAGACUAAUAAUCAAAAAUGUCCCACAUAUUUCUGAAAUAACUCCAAAGAUAAAAGAUUCUUCAGAUGUCACACAGAGAGGUACCUACUUACACAGUGGAGAUUAUACCAAAGACUCAUAAAUGAAAAAAAAAUACCUCAACAACUAGAAUAAGUCUUCAAAUGGAAGCUCUGUCACCUGGUUCAAAAUGAGAUUGCAGAGGUCACUUAACAUAUUCUUGUCUGAUGAAGUGUUCUUACGGUGUGCUGGUUUACAUAUGGCUUCCCAUCCAGAGGCUGCUGGGUGAUCGAAUAGUCAAACAUGCUCAUCUUUAUUAUCAACAUUUAUUGAACAUCCAUAGGAACAUAUGGC
This is a long non-coding RNA of Dromiciops gliroides (monito del monte), 439 nucleotides long. RefSeq lists it as uncharacterized. NCBI's taxonomy places the organism in Eukaryota, Metazoa, Chordata, Mammalia, Microbiotheria, Microbiotheriidae. The transcript is spliced from 3 exons. The record is from RefSeq and is a predicted model, not a curated record.